RNAcentral lists this small nucleolar RNA (82 nucleotides) under Solanum tuberosum (potato). RNAcentral's name for it is "Small nucleolar RNA SNORD34". It matches the Rfam family "Small nucleolar RNA SNORD34". From Rfam's summary of the family: snoRNA U34 is found in intron 5 of the ribosomal protein L13a gene in humans. U34 is a member of the C/D class of snoRNA which contain C (UGAUGA) and D (CUGA) box motifs, and functions in directing site-specific 2'-O-methylation of 25S rRNAs. Lineage: Eukaryota; Viridiplantae; Streptophyta; Magnoliopsida; Solanales; Solanaceae. The record is from Rfam by way of RNAcentral.
CAAGGCCUAUGAUGGAAUUUGAUAACAUGCCUACAUUGUCUGAUCAUAUAAGUUUGAUUGAGCAACAUGAACUGAGGCCUUG